This 497-nucleotide ribosomal RNA is filed under the name uncultured bacterium. Its description in RNAcentral is "partial 16S ribosomal RNA". It matches the Rfam family "Bacterial small subunit ribosomal RNA", at positions 28 to 507 of the family's 1533-position model. The record is from RNAcentral.
GAUGAACGCUGGCGGCGUGCCUAAUACAUGCAAGUCGAGCGAACGGACGAGAAGCUUCCUUCUCUGAUGUUAGCGGCGGACGGGUGAGUAACACGUGGAUAACCUACCUAUAAGACUGGGAUAACUUCGGGAAACCGGAGCUAAUACCGGAUGAUAUUUUGAACCGCAUGGUUCAAAAGUGAAAGACGGUCUUGCUGUUACUUAUACAUGGAUCCGCGCUGCAUUAGCUAGUUGGUAAGGUAACGGCUUACCAAGGCAACGAUGCAUAGCCGACCUGAGAGGGUGAUCGGCCACACUGGAACUGAGACACGGUCCAGACUCCUACGGGAGGCAGCAGUAGGGAAUCUUCCGCAAUGGGCGAAAGCCUGACGGAGCAACGCCGCGUGAGUGAUGAAGGUCUUCGGAUCGUAAAACUCUGUUAUUAGGGAAGAACAUAUGUGUAAGUAAAUGUGCACAUCUUGACGGUACCUAAUCAGAAAGCCACGGCUAACUACGUG